This 767-nucleotide ribosomal RNA is filed under the name Iodobacter sp. RNAcentral describes it as "bacterial SSU rRNA". Lineage: Bacteria; Pseudomonadati; Pseudomonadota; Betaproteobacteria; Neisseriales; Chitinibacteraceae. The record is from RNAcentral.
CCUGCUCAGAUUGAACGCUGGCGGCAUGCUUUACACAUGCAAGUCGAACGGUAACAGGGUGCUUGCWCCGCUGACGAGUGGCGAACGGGUGAGUAAUAUAUCGGAACGUACCUAGUAAUGGGGGAUAACUAUCCGAAAGGAUAGCUAAUACCGCAUACGCCCUGAGGGGGAAAGAGGGGGAUCGCAAGACCUCUCGUUAUUAGAGCGGCCGAUAUCAGAUUAGCUAGUUGGUGAGGUAAAGGCUCACCAAGGCCACGAUCUGUAGCGGGUCUUAGAGGACGAUCCGCCACACUGGAACUGAGACACGGUCCAGACUCCUACGGGAGGCAGCAGUGGGGAAUCUUGGACAAUGGGCGCAAGCCUGAUCCAGCAAUGCCGCGUGCGUGAAGAAGGCCUUCGGGUUGUAAAGCGCUUUUGUUCGGGAGGAAAUCCUAGGGGCUAAUACCCUUUGGGGAUGACAGUACCGGAAGAAUAAGGACCGGCUAACUACGUGCCAGCAGCCGCGGUAAUACGUAGGGUCCAAGCGUUAAUCGGAAUUACUGGGCGUAAAGGGUGCGCAGGUGGUUGAUUAAGUGUGAUGUGAAAGCCCCGGGCUCAACCUGGGAAUUGCAUUGCAAACUGUUCAACUAGAGUAUGGCAGAGGGGGGUGGAAUUCCGCGUGUAGCAGUGAAAUGCGUAGAGAUGCGGAGGAACACCGAUGGCGAAGGCAACCCCCUGGGCUAAUACUGACACUCAUGCACGAAAGCGUGGGGAGCAAACAGGAUUAG